This 219-nucleotide unclassified non-coding RNA is filed under the name uncultured Rubrobacterales bacterium. RNAcentral describes it as "contains 16S-23S intergenic spacer region". Lineage: Bacteria; Bacillati; Actinomycetota; Rubrobacteria; Rubrobacterales. The record is from RNAcentral.
UCCGGUUUGUCACCGGCAGUCUGGCGUGAGUCCCCAACUAAAUGAUGGCAACACGCCACAGGGGUUGCGCUCGUUGCGGGACAUAACCCAACAUCUCACGACACGGGCUGACGACAGCCAUGCAGCAUCUGUGGUGCACCCUCGAAGGUCACACGUUUCCGUGCGCUUGCAGCACCAUGUCAAGUCCAGGUAAGGUGGGGAUGACGUAGACCUUGGACC